AUAUCUCAAUGAAUAGAUGUAAAAAAAUUCUUGCUUGUUCAUUUUGUUUCUCAGAGAAAUUAUAUUUAACAUUUAAAGGAACUCUUUAACAUACAAAGGAGGUCACUCGGAAGUCUAAUGAGGAAGUGUAUGGCAUUAUGCUUUCAGUAUGCAUCCCCAUCUUUAUUGGAAAUUUUAUUUCUAUUAAAGUUACACUGCCUUUGCUAUUUGAGCACAUGUAGAGCAAUGCAAGACCUCUAGUGCAAAUGCAAAUAUACCAGAUGAAAAUAGGACAUAUUUGUACAUUAUUCUUUAUUUAUUCAGAAAGGUUUCUUCCUUUCCACUUUGACUAUAUAUGCUGUACAGAGUAAUGUUUCUCUUUGUUACAAUGAUAGUGGUAAGGUGUUUCAGGUUGUCAAGUCUAUGCAUUGAACUCUUCACUUUUCUAAUGCCUAGGUCAUAUGGUAUGGUUUUUGGGUGGUCCUGUGUCAAGCCAGGAGUUUAAUUUGACCCUUAUGGGUCCCUUCCUUAGGGGAUCCCUAACUUAGGAUAUUCUAUGAUUCUAUAAUUCUAUGAAAUUGACAUCUUUUCUUCUAGGCAUGGUUAUUAUAGCUAUUCAUAUCUCUAUCAUCUCUCAGUUGGGCUACUGGGAGGAUUGCUGUAAAAGACCCACCAAAGCCAGAGUGAUUUGCCUAACCAGGCUGUUAUGGGCUAUAACAAAUUUUGGGUUCUGCACCGGCUAAUUCUUUUUUUCCACUUGAUUAUAUGUAAAUUUUUACUUUAAAAGCCUAAUUAAUAAAUUACCUACAACUUUCCUUACCUGAAAGUUUUUUUCAGUUUUUCACAAAUGAAAUAGAAAAAAGUUUACUUCUUUUUUUUUUCUAUUUUAAGAUUCUAGAUGUACAGAGGUGAUGUACAGUACUUUAUGUUGAUUUAUUUGUUAAUACACCGUCAAAAGGCAGCUUGAUACUCAACUUGAACCUUUUCCCUCUUACUUUAAUCCUAUUACUGCUGUAUAAAUCCCUGUUUAUCACUCUGAAUGCUUCUUCUCCUGCCUUGGAUUUAUUCUUCUAAGAUAUUCCCAGACUGUUAUCAUGUUCCCCCACUUCAGCAAAGAGUUAGCCAUGGUAUAUUACAUAUUACAUCAUUUAAAAUCUGUGUUCCUCUACUUGUUCUACUGUUUUGUGACAGGUUGUAUUGUCUGCAAUAUCUUUUAUUUGUUGGUAGAGUUUUAGUAAAACCUGUAGUACAGUAUACAUGUCAGCUCAGCUGCUUCUUGAGCCUCAGAAAACCUAAUAGCAGUUAAACAUUUACUUUUAGACUGGAUGCAAAGACAAGGACUAUUAAACUAUCCUAUAAUGUCUCUCUUUUAAAAACAAAACAAUACAAAAUCACCUCAUUUGUAUUCUAUUACAAACACUUGUUCAAUUCAGUUUGCUGUGAUCAGUCCAAUAAUUGUUAUUAUUUGAUUAAUACAUUAUCACAGUGCAUAUGAACCCAGUUCAGGAACUGAGACUUAUUUAUGCCAGGCACUAAUUGAAUUCAAGAAAACAGUUUUUUUCCCAAGGAACUCACAGUGUAAACAAGGCCAAACAACGAAGAACAGAUGACCAACAGGAAAGGAACAAAGAACAGGACUGCAUUUGGAAGAAAAAGGAGAAACAAUGGGCAGUGGUUUCAAAUAUGGAGAGGCCUGGGGCUUUCUUAACAUACCAGCUUUCUUUCUGUCAUUAAGCAUGUGUUCCAAGUAAUUUCCUUUCAAAUACUUGCUUUAAAAUAACUUUCAUGUUUCAUUUUCUACAUUUCUGAUCUUCACUAACAUGAUAACUCUCUGUCCUCUCAGAACCCGCUUUGUUAUCUUUCUCUACCUAAAUCUUUGAUAUGUAUUUGAUCUUCUAUCUGUAGUAUUCUCCAAUCCUUGCAGUUAACAGCAUAGUACAUAAAUAAUAUUUUAAAAAUCUACAGAAAUUUCAGAACAAAUUUUGGAGACAAAUGUGAUUUUAAAAAAUCUAGAUAUAUUACAGCUAUAUGGUAAGUACUUGUAAGUUAAGAUUUAUUUUAUUUUAUCUUACUCAGGAAAAACAAAAAGCAGAUUACUGUUUGUAAGAAAGGCUAUGUGAAUAUUGUUGUCUCAGAAUGCCAGGAAACUUUUCUUUCAAGAACAAAGUUACACAGCACUACAUACCAUCACCAUGUCCAGAAUGUACACCUGCUGAUAGACAAAGUUGUUACCUCAGCUUAAGAAUUCCACGUUUUAAAUGGGCGUUAAAGAGCACAUGUUUUUUGUUAAAACAUAAGUGAGCCAACCCCCACAGGCACAUACCAAUAAAAAAAUGUUACUCUGGAGCUUUGUGCCUCUAAAAGCAUCUCUACAUAUAUUGAGAC
Long non-coding RNA from Gallus gallus (chicken), 2364 nucleotides. NCBI's taxonomy places the organism in Eukaryota, Metazoa, Chordata, Aves, Galliformes, Phasianidae. The record is from Ensembl.